This 447-nucleotide ribosomal RNA is filed under the name uncultured bacterium. Its description in RNAcentral is "partial 16S ribosomal RNA". It matches the Rfam family "Bacterial small subunit ribosomal RNA", at positions 29 to 523 of the family's 1533-position model. The record is from RNAcentral.
AGCGAACGCUGGCGGCAGGCUUAACACAUGCAAGUCGAGCGCCCCGCCAGGGGAGCGGCAGACGGGUGAGUAACACGUGGGAACGUACCCUUUGUUUCGGAACAACCCAGGGAAACUUGGGCUAAUACCGGAUCCGUCCGUAAGGAGAAAGAUUUAUCGCCAAAGGAUCGGCCCGCGUCUGAUUAGCUAGUUGGUGAGGUAAUGGAUCACCAAGGCUACGAUCAGUAGCUGGUCUGAGAGGAUGAUCAGCCAAAUUGGGACUGAGACACGGCCCAAACUCCUACGGGAGGCAGCCGUGGGGAAUAUUGGACAAUGGGGGCAACCCUGAUCCAGCCAUGCCGCGUGAGUGAUGAAGGCCCUAGGGUUGUAAAGCUCUUUUAGCAGGGAAGAAAAUGACGGUACCUGCAGAAAAAGCCCCGGCUAACUUCGUGCCAGCCGCCGCCGUAA